Molecule: ribosomal RNA, 404 nt
Filed under: Actinomycetes bacterium
Lineage: Bacteria; Bacillati; Actinomycetota; Actinomycetes
Description: Actinobacteria bacterium partial 16S ribosomal RNA
Rfam family: Bacterial small subunit ribosomal RNA
Source: RNAcentral
UGGGGAAUAUUGGACAAUGGGCGCAAGCCUGAUCCAGCCAUGCCGCGUGAGUGAUGAAGGCCCUAGGGUUGUAAAGCUCUUUCACCGGUGAAGAUAAUGACGGUAACCGGAGAAGAAGCCCCGGCUAACUUCGUGCCAGCAGCCGCGGUAAUACGAAGGGGGCUAGCGUUGUUCGGAUUUACUGGGCGUAAAGCGAACGUAGGCGGACUUUUAAGUCAGGGGUGAAAUCCCGGGGCUCAACCCCGGAACUGCCUUUGAUACUGGAAGUCUUGAGUAUGGUAGAGGUGAGUGGAAUUCCGGGUGUAGAGGUGAAAUUCGUAGAUAUUCGGAGGAACACCAGUGGCGAAGGCGGCUCACUGGACAAUUACUGACGCUGAGGUGCGAAAGCGUGGGGAGCAAACAGG